Molecule: ribosomal RNA, 424 nt
Filed under: Verrucomicrobiota bacterium
Lineage: Bacteria; Pseudomonadati; Verrucomicrobiota
Description: Verrucomicrobia bacterium partial 16S ribosomal RNA
Rfam family: Bacterial small subunit ribosomal RNA
Source: RNAcentral
UGAGGAAUAUUGGUCAAUGGGCGAGAGCCUGAACCAGCCAAGUAGCGUGCAGGAUGACGGCCCUAUGGGUUGUAAACUGCUUUUAUAUGGGAAUAAAGUGAGGGACGUGUCCCUUAUUGCAUGUACCAUACGAAUAAGGACCGGCUAAUUUCGUGCCAGCAGCCGCGGUAAUACGGAAGGUCCAGGCGUUAUCCGGAUUUAUUGGGUUUAAAGGGAGCGUAGGCUGUUUGUUAAGCGUGUUGUGAAAUGUAAGAGCUCAACUUUUAGAUUGCAGCGCGAACUGGCAGACUUGAGUGCGCACAACGUAGGCGGAAUUCAUGGUGUAGCGGUGAAAUGCUUAGAUAUCAUGACGAACUCCGAUUGCGAAGGCAGCUUACGGGAGCGCAACUGACGCUAAAGCUCGAAGGUGCGGGUAUCGAACAGG